This 24-nucleotide non-coding RNA is filed under the name Arabidopsis thaliana (thale cress). The record is from RNAcentral. Lineage: Eukaryota; Viridiplantae; Streptophyta; Magnoliopsida; Brassicales; Brassicaceae.
ACAGAUACCUAUGGUGGGUAUAUC